UUGAACAUACGCUCUUUUUUACCGAGCUCCGCAAAAAAAUUCAGAAAGAUUGUGGAAAAACAAGUUUACAGUCAUCACUAUUACUGUUUUUAUUUGUUCAAGAUAUAAUUACUUUCCUGUGACUGGAAUAAGAAUUUGAUAAUUUAUUUCGGCAUGACCAUGCGAAGUCGUGACAAAUAGAAAGGAAGAAGCUAGCCGUUCUAUUGCUAAUCAACAAGAGAGAAACGUGCUUAUAGACAACUGCCAUAACUACGCCUGAUUCCACUCUGUCCAGCGUCGUUGUUUUGCAUUCCCUCUCCAGUAUGUAAACACCAACACUUGCCCUAUGGAUAAUAUCAUACUUUCGAAUGCUGUUGAAGAUGACGAAUUCCCCCCUUUACCGGUUACUCCGUGCAAACUUCCACCCUCCAAAAACCCCAACAUGAACUCUGACAUCGUGGCUACCCUCUCCUUACUCAUCAACUCCAGGUCUGACGCCAUUGAGAAAAUGGUAGGCACGACCACCAUGGUUAUCGAAGGCUUGAAAAAGACUGGAGUUUGUAUGUGGUGAAAUCAAGAAUUUGGAAAAAAUAAUAACAAUGUCUACCAUAGACGUCUCACUGAUCUGGAACAAUACACAAGAAGAUGGAACCUGAGACUCCACGGAUUGCCAGAGGUGGAGAAUGAGGAUGUGCGAGGAGAGGCUAUCCGCAUCUGCCAAGAAGUUAUGCCUGCAGAGAAGAACAAAGUUGGUGGUACCAUGGAUGUCGUGCAUCGCCUCGGCAAGAAGCAACAGCAAAACAAUUCAAGACCAAGGGGUAUCAUCAUCCUCUUCAUUGCCAGAUUAUACAAGGAUGCUGUCUGGAAAGCUGAUAGGAAGAACGCCUUCCUUCAGAGCCAUGGUAUGCGUUUCGCCGAGCAUCUCAGCCCAGAGGACAUAGAAAGAAGGAACAAGUUGUGGCCAAAGAUCAAUAAAGUACGAAAUGAGGCUUACUUCGGAGGACGCCGCUUCGUCAACGGUUCAGAAAUCCAUAUUCCUCCCUAAAAUCUCACCAGAAGGAACAGAUUGAUGGUUUCGGCCAUGGUAUUCUCAUUUUCCUUGUAUUGUUUACUUUACCUAACAAGCAUCAGGUGACAAUUUUUCGGAAUACUCAGGUACUUCAAGUUAUUAGUUUGGUCUUGUAUGACGAGAAGGCCUAUUUUGUUUACAAACUUACGAAGAAGACUGAAAGUUGUAUUUAUUUUUUAUGUAUACAGUAACUAAGAUACUGUUUUUAAAGAGCAAACAGGUCUACUCUGACUUUACACGGUUGUUCUAUUUAGUUAUUAAUACUUAUUUCCAAGUGAAAAGGGUCUUAGAAACAUGUAUGUAAAAAAAAAUUAUUCCAAUUUUUUAUGAUCAGUUUUCAUAUGCACUUAAAGUAGUAGGUACCCUUUUAAUUUAAAUUAUUAUUUUGUAUUUUCUCAGAAUAGUUCCUGAUUCCACUAAAGAGGGUUUUUAGUCUCUUACUACAAAGAACCCUUGGUUUGGUCUUGAACAUAAUUUUCAGUUGAGUUUAAUUUCAAAAGCCGGACAACAUCUAGCUCAGAGUUUAUGGAAAACGCUAUUUUCACUUAGUUGACUUAAAUGGUGAAGAUCUCGGUUCCUUAUCGCUUACGUUCACUGCUCCUACGUUUUUGACGACUCCUACUACAGUUUAUACUUUAUAUAAUCUUUGUUUUGUCUUUGUCUAUAGUUUCUCUUAAUGCUAGGGUGUUACGAAACAAUGCACAAGGCCUUAUUUUUAUUUGCUCAACAAUUUCAAACAGAUUUUUGCUUUUUUCAAGAGUCUCACUCAAUUUUGGCUGAUGCCAACUUCUGGAGGUCACAGUGGGACAACGAUAUUUGGCUUUCCCAUGGAUCUGAACGCACUGCUGGUGUCAUUACAAUGAAAAAUCCCUUUGGUAAUAUUCUACACUCAGAAUGUGACCCCUUUGGUCACUUUAUUUGUCUUGUGAUCAAUUACAAUGACAUUAUGCUCAUUGUAAACUUCUACGGGUACAACACCAAACAUGAGAAUGAUGAGUUGCUUGAAUCUAUAGAAACAUAUACUUCAUUGGUUAUCUAAAUUUCCGAGUUUAUUAUUAUUGAUAGGAGGGGACUUUAACAUUACUAUAGAUAAUUCAACUGAUAGAUGGCCCCCAGGUAGGCCAACCAAUCAGAAUUUGGGUUUAAUACUUUUUAUGGAAAAGUUUGAUCUUACUGAUAUAUGGAGAGAGAGGUUUCCUGCUGACAGACCAUUCACUUGGAGUAACAAAACAGGUUCCAGACAAUCCAGAAUAGAUUUUUGGCUUAUAUCCAAAUGUAUUGAUAGUGAGUGUGUUACUACAAGUAUUUGUACUACUCUCCUCACAGACCAUAGGGCCAUUUACAUUGAUAUCAAAAUAUUUCCCCCUGAUACUAACCUUGGUAGGCCAUCCUACUGGAAGCUAAAUAGCUCAUUAUUAAAUAAUGAUAUAGUUAAGAUUGAGGGUAAAGAUCUGCUUUCACACUUUUGGGAAAGGGCUUGUGAAGAAAAAUCUUAUUGCAAGAACUGGGAGCUCUUUAAAUUUGAAGUGUCCAAAUACCUUAGAAAAUAUGGUAGUAAUCUUGCUAAGACCAGAAGAGCUGAGGAGGAAAAGGUGAUCAUUAAGAGAACUUCCCUUUCUCAGAGGUCCCCAGCCGGCCUCUCGGGAGGAGAAGAUGGAACUGAUUGAGUUACAAAAUAAACUGGAUAAUACAGUGGGGCAAAAAAGUAUUUAGUCAGCCACCAAUUGUGCAAGUUCUCCCACUUAAAAAGAUGAGGCCUGUAAUUUUCAUCAUAGGUACACUUCAACUAUGACAGACAAAAUGAGAGAAAAAAAUCCCAAAUCAAAUUGUAGGAUUUUUAAUGAAUUUAUUUGCAAAUUAUGGUGGAAAAUAAGUACACUGCUCAAAAAAAUGAAUGGAACACUAAAAUAACACAUCCUAGGUCUGAAUGAAUGAAAUAUUCUUAUUAAAUACUUUUUUUCUUUACAUAGUUGAAUGUGCUGACAACAAAAUCACGCAAAUUAUCAAUGGAAAUCAAAUUUAUCAACCCAUGGAGGUCUGGAUUUGGAGUCACACUCAAAAUUAGUGGAAAACCACACUACAGGCUGAUCCAACUUUGAUGUAAUGUCCUUAAAACAAGUCAAAAUGAGGCUCAGUAGUGUGUGUGGCCUCCACGUGCCUGUAUGACCUCCCUACAAUGCCUGGGCAUGCUCCUGAUGAGGUGGCGGAUGGUCUCCUGAGGGAUCUCCUCCCAGACCUGGACUAAAGCAUCCGCCAACUCUUAGACAGUCUGUGGUGGCGUUGGUGGAUGGAGCGAGACAUGAUGUCCCAGAUGUGCUCAAUUGGAUUCAGGUCUGGGGAACGGGCGGGCCAGUCCAUAGCAUCAAUGCCCUCCUCUUGCAGGAACUGCUGACACACUCCAGCCACAUGAGGUCUAGCAUUGUCUUGCAUUAGGCAGAACCCAGGGCCAACCGCACCAGCAUAUGGUCUCACAAGGGGUCUGAGGAUCUCAUCUCAGUACCUAAUGGCAGUCAGCCUUCCAUGUGCUCGCCAGAGGUAGCCUGUCUGGCACCCCAAAGAAAUGCCACCCCACACCAUGACUGACCCACCGCCAAACCGGUCAUGCUGGAGGAUGUUGCAGGCAGCAGAACAUUCUCCAUGGCGUCUCCAGACUCUGUCACGUCUGUCACAUGUGCUCAGUGUGAACCUGCUUUCAUCUGUGAAGAGCACAGGGCGCCAGUGGCAAAUUUGCCAAUCUUGGUGUUCUCUGGCAAAUGCCAAACGUCCUGCACGGUGUUGGGCUGUAAGCACAACCCCCACCUGUGGACGUCGGGCCCUCAUACCACCCUCAUGGAGUCUGUUUCUGACCGUUUGAGCAGACACAUGCACAUUUGUGGCCUGCUGGAGGUCAUUUUGCAGGGCUCUGGCAGUGCUCCUCCUGCUCCUCCUUGCACAUAGGUGGAGGUAGCGGUCCUGCUGCUGGGUUGUUGCCCCCCUACGGCCUCAUCCACAUCUCCUGGUGUACUGGCCUGUCUCCUGGUAGCGCCUCCAUGCUCUGGACACUACGCUGACAGACACAGCAAACCUUCUUGCCACAGCUCGCAUUGAUGUGUCAUCCUGGUUGAGCUGCACUACCUGAGCCACUUGUGUGGGUUGUAGACUCCGUCUCAUGCUACCACUAGAGUGAAAGCACCGCCAGCAUUCAAAAGUGACCAAAACAUCAGCCAGGAAGCAUAGGACCUGAGAAGUGGUCUGUGGUCACCACCUGCAGAGCCCCUCCUUUAUUGGGGGUGUCUUGCUAAUUGCCUAUAAUUUCCACCUGUUGUCUAUUCCAUUUGCACAACAGCGUGUGUUAUGUAUUGUCAAUCAGUGUUGCUUCCUAAGUGGACAGUUUGAUUUCACAGAAGUGUGAUUGACUUGGAGUUACAUUGUCCUGUUUAAGUGUUCCCUUUUUUUUAGCAGUGUAUUUGGCCACCUACAAACAAGCAAUAUUUCUGUCUCUAACAGACCUGUAACUUCUUCUUUAAGAGGCUCCUCUGUCCUCCACUCGUUACCUGUAUGAACAUGUUAUCAGUAUAAAAGACACCUGUCCACAACUUCAAACAGUCACACUCCAAACUCUACUAUGGCCAAGACCAAAGAGCUGUCAAAGAACACCAGAAACAAAAUUGUAGACCUGCACCAGGCUGGGAAGACUGAAUCUGCAAUAGGUAAGCAGCUUGGUUUGAAGAAAUCAACUGUGGGAGCAAUUAUUAGGAAAUGGAAGACAUACAAGACCACUGAUAAUCUCCCUCGAUCUGGGGCUCCACGCAAGAUCUCACAAGGCUCCUUCUGCUUUUAAUCAUAUAUAAGAUCUCGGAAGAAAUGGAUUGAGGGAGAACAGAAUUCAUCCUAUUUCUGUAGACUUCAGAAAUGUCACUCUACAAAUAACACUCCAUAAGUUAAACAUUGGUGUUAUUACAGAUGACCAAAAUUAAUCGCUAAAUACUGUAGCAAUUUUUACAGAAUUGUAUAGCUCUACGUACUGUCAGGAAUCCACAGAUAUGAUUUUUGACUGCACUGAAUAAUGUUCACUCUAUCAGUGAUAUAGAAUCUAAACAGUGUGAACCCAUCAAAGUUGAGGAGAUUAUAGUCUAUCAAACAUCCGAAGAACAAUAAAUCACCAGGUGUUGAUGGAAUUCAUCAGAAUUGUACAAAUUAUUUUCUGAACAAGUAGCUCCCUUCCUAUUUGAUGUCUUUUUAGAGUAUUAAAAACAAUGUUCUCCCUCCUACAAUGAGUCAGUGGUUAAUAACACUGAUACCUAAGCCUAAAAAAGUACUGCUCAUCGAUAACUGGCGUCCAAUUUGUAGUCUUAAUAAUGACUACAAGAUAUUAGCCGUACUACUUGCAAAAAUAAUUAAAGAAGUCCUGGAUGCAAUCAUUGAUGAAACACAGUCUGGCUUCAUGAGGAACAGACAUAUUUCUAACAAUAUCAGACUAGUAUUAGACAUACUUGACUACUCAGACCUAAUAACCGAGGAUAGCUUCAUAUUUUUAGAUUUUCAUAAAGCAUUUGACACAGUAGAGCAUCAGUUCCUCUUCCACUCCCUUGAGAGACUUGGCUUUGGGGAUUUUUUUUUUCUAUAUGGCUAUUAAGACUCUCUAUACAAAUGGUAACAGCUCUAUCAAAUUAAAAUAUGACACCUCGCCUAGAUUUGAGUUAAAGAGCAGAAUUAAGCAAGGUUGUCCUAUCUCUCCGUACCUGUUUUUAUUAAUCACACAAAUUCUUUAAAUAAUAGUCCUGUACAAGGCAUUUCCAUAGCUGGUAAAGAAAUUGUUAUAAGCCAGCUGGCUGAUGAUACUACACUUUUUUUCUGAAAGAUGCUAACCAAAUACCCAUAUCGAUAAAUUUGAUACAAUCCUUUUCCAAAGCGUCUGGUCUAUAUCUUAACAUGAAUAAAUGUGAACUCAUGCCUGUCAAAGAUUGUGUGACACCUUCAUAUUAUAGUAUUCCAGUAAAAGAAGAACUUACCUAUUUAGGCAUAACCAUUACAAAAAAUCAGAAGUCUAGAGGCUUACUAAAUUUUAACCCUCUUAUUUAAAAAUAAUAAUAAUAAAUUUAAAAAAAAAACAGAAGAAGCUAAAUCAAUGGCUACAGAGGGACUUAUCUUUUAAAAGGAAGUCCUAAUAACUUCAGCCUUGGUUAUCUCUAGACUAACAUAUGGUACUCUAUCUUUUAUAUCUUGACAGUAAAAUAAGCAAGGAGAUAGACCAGAUGAUUUUCUACUUUCUGUGGAGAAACCAUACCCAUUACAUUAGGAAAACUGUUGUAUUGAACACUUAUGAGAAUGGUGGGCUGAAUUUUCUGGACUUUACUACCUUAAAUAAUAGUUUUUAAGAUCAAUUGUAUAAAACAAUUCCUAAGAAGACACUUAUAUGUGUAAUUUUAUUCCUCGUGUCUUCUCUACAUUUGGUGGCCUUAACUUCAUGUUGGUUUGCAAUUAUAAUAUUGACAAAGUUCCAGUGAAACUUUCUGCUUUUCAUCGGCAGGUUUUCUUGUCAUGGUCCUUAAAACCCUUUCAUGCUUGAGUUUCAAAUAUCUCUAACGGUCGCCCCAGCGUUUUUUUAAUGCACGUGAUGUUAGCAUGUUCUCUCCAUUCCAGAAUGUGAUUGAUACGUAACAGUGCAUUUAAUCCGCGCUGCCCUCAAACUAAAAGCACGCAGCCCGUUUUUAUUUAUAGGCUGUUUCAAUUUCAAAUGAAUUUCUGUUUUUAUUUUCUAAGAACAGUUUGAAUUUAGGUGUGUUCCACCUCAUUCAUUCUCAUAAAAAUGGUCAUUUUUACUUUUGUGGACAAUUUAAUAUUUGGGACAUUUCUGACCCGGACAAAAUUCCCAAGCACUUCCCAAUUGUUUGUGCAGUUCAAGUCUGCAGACAUUUGCUCAUCUCCCGUCAGAACAGGAUCUGCACACGUGUUCACAUUUUCCAUCUGUUGCAGUCAUUGUUUUCGUUACUAAUAAUAACUUUGGAAAUGUGUGUGUUUCUAUCAAAUUGAAUUAUUACGUUGUAAUAGUUUCUGUACGUCGUUUCUAUUGUAGCAUACUGUAUGUAUAGAGCAUAAUAUAUUUGUGUAUAUUCUUUAUAACCGCAGACACGUGAGGUAACGUUACUCAUUUUAUAACCUUCAUGGUGUUCUAUUCAAUCGUGCUUAUGCAGCUAGCUACUUCUAUCAGCUCUGUAAAACAAUGCUAAUUGCGUCAGAGAAGUAUUAUCUUGUGAUGUAUUUUGAAGCUACAUGACCUUAUGACUCCCAAGUGGCACAGCGGUCAAAGGCACAGCACAUCAAUGCUAGAGAUGUCACUACAGACUCCCUGGUUCAAAUCCAUGCUGCGUUUCUAUCAAAAAACCACAAACAGUAUUUGCCAAUAUCAUAACUGGAAUUGGGCAUCUUUGGAGUUGAAGAAUGAGGACAGCUGUUGUAUGCUAACCUACACUCCUUAACAGUUGUACUGGAUGAAAACACAGCAAGAAAACACACAGGCCAAUAUGUAAUAGUCGUCUAUUUUAUUGCAGUAUUGGUAGUUGGUUCAACAACAACAACUUGUUGUACUAGAGGACAAAAAACAGAAUAUGCAUAACCCAUAUUUAAUAUUCAUGCAGUGACUGAACAAAAACUGCAUUUCCACCCCCACCUCUAAAGGCAUAGUAUCAUGGCAGGUCACCUGUCAGGUCAGUCAGUCACUUAUCGCUGCAGAUGUGCUCAAUAAUGCUUGAGCAUGUGAUACUCCUCAAAGCAUGGUGAAAUACAUAGAGGUGUAUCACAAGCUAAACACAUGUAUUUUGUCUUCUUCUCCUAGCGCCUCUUCUCCUGGUUUAUCAUGUCCGCCUUAUCCACGGCCCCCAUUUUGAGGAUAUAGUCAAGCACACAAUCUGGUUUGAUCUUUCUCUCUCCCGUCAGGUGGUCCACCUUCUCUGUGGCCGACAUGGUUGCUGUAUGGACAGUGGAGAGGACAAGGACUUCUCGUUUGUCAUGCCACUUUACUGCCAGCUGUUGACCGUUCUCCUGGAACUCCACCUCCCCUCUCUGCAUCUUCCUGCAUCCGUAUGCCGGCAUCCCCUUCCUGUUCGACCUGACUGUGCCACAGGCCCCUGUGCUGUUGGAGAGCAGAUGCUGUGGAAGAGUGUGGGACUGCUGUACCAAUUGUCCACGUAAGUCCCUUGCCGAGAUGAGGAGCCAGCAUGGUCAUCACCACGGACCCGGACACCCCAAGCCCCUCAUAAUGUUGGAUGUCAGUGAUGGACCCUGUGUAUACUAUAAUAUCCUAGACAAAUCCUGUCUUCACGUCGCACAUGACAAAGAACUUCACUCCAAACCUGUGCCUUUUGGCGGGAAUAUAUUGACAGAACGCCGGCCUACCUUUCCAUAACGUCAGGGACUCAUCAAUGCAUAGUUCCUUGUAUGGCACAAAGACAUGACCAAAUGCUGAUGUCAGGCUGAUAAGAACAUUUCUUAUUUUGUAUAACGGGUCACUUAGGAUGGCAGUAGCAUUGUUGACGAAAUGCAGGCAUCGCAGCAGAACUAGGAAGCGGUCUUGGGAAAAGAGGUUUGCAAAGAAGGGAGUUGCGAACAUAGGAUCUGUGCUCCAGUAUUCUCCUUAGGGAGUUCUUAUUUACUAUUCCCAUUAGAAGGACUGGCACCAGAAAAUAAAAUUUUUUCACUAAUUGUGGUUGUCACCCAUUUAGUGAGUUUCCCCCUCACUACUGGCUCUCUCUUCUGUAGCUCCAAGGCAUAGCGAUUGGUCCCCUCUACUGUUUCCCACCAACUCCUCUGUCAGAAACCACUUGAAGUACUCUGUCUCAGUUGGAAAUGGCAAGGGGCGUUGCACUCCAGACUGCAAACAGCAGGGCCAGGAGGGGUGAAAUGACUGGCGGCCUUCCAGCUACCACAACUCCUGUACUUCAUCCACUGCCGGUCUGCCUCCAUCACCACCAGCAUCUUCAAAGGGACCUGGUACUUUGUCAGUGGACAAGGGAAAUUCAGAUUCAGGGUUCUCAAUGGCUACAAGGUUGGGGGGCAGCUCCUUACUGUCACUGUCAGAAUCUGAUUCCUGACUUUCAGACUCAUUGUCAUAAUUUUAAAAUAUCUCCAGAAUUUACACAUUUGUGAGUCGUCUCCUUUUCAAAGGCAUUGCUAAUGCUACAGCUUAGCUCACUAGCCUAGCUACAUACAUAAACAACAACACUAAAUGGCCCAGAGUGAGAUGGUACGUGGUUGACUGCCGGCACCCGCCACUUGUAUCAAUAAAUCACUAUCAAAAAAAUGUUUUGUGUGGCAAUUAUUUGUGUAUUUACUGUCUUAUUCACACGUUUUCAAUUCUAGGUGACAAAUCAUGCAUUCCGAUUCUUGCAUAGAUUGUAAUGGGCACAUAUUAUGUGUAAAAUACUGUUUUGAAGGUUGUACUGAUUAUGAGCUAAGCCAAUUCCAGCUGUGUAACCAUGCUUGUUGACAUGCAAUGCAUUCUGGGUUUCACGUAAUCGUCUGUUUGACCAAAGAUGUUAUAACAAAAUGAAGUGAGUAAGUGUUCACUCAUUUUUUUGAGGACUUCCGGAAAUGAAUGGUGGGAUGUGAACGACGGUAGAUGACACACCCCUUCAACAUGCAUACUAUAAACAGACCAAACUCAUCUUGUCAUCUUCGGUUUCUGCGAGGAAAAAAUGCAUGGCUGUGCGCUGAAACUAAUCGUCGGAUUAUUUUCGAUUUCUAGAAAGUGUUUUACCUAAUUAUUUCGAUCAAUGGUGAGCUCACCCGUGGUGUGAUUAAUUAUAUAUAGUAAUUGCUAUUAGCUAAUUGAUAUUGUAGUUUAUGUCAGCCGAGAGUUGGAAAAUAUGACUGCUUGUGUUGGGUCAAUCUUUCCUCAGCUCUAGGACAAAUGUAGCCUACAUUUUUCUGGUUAGGAUGAUUGUGUUAUGCUAUAGAUAUUCACAGAAGUAUAUGAACAUUGCAUCCAAAAAUAAGCUGCUUACAUUCUGGACAUUUUAUUUAUUUCACCUUUAUUUAACCAGGUAGGCAAGUUUAGAACAAGUUGUCAUGUACAAUUGCGACCUGGCCAAGAUGAUAAAGCACAACUUUGUAAGGACUGUGUUUGUGUAAAUAGUUUCUGAAAAAAGUGUGGCCAGCUCAAAUGCUUAUUGUUGCGUCAUUCGAAACUGGCCGUUCUAAAUGAGUGUUCUAAUCACGGGGUGUGAUCAUACGCUUCAGGGACCACUGUAGAACGAUCACACCCGUGUGAUGGUACAUGUGAAAGGGUUCAUUUAUAAGCAGAAUUUUUCUCCACACAUUAUAUAUGGAACAAUCUGGAUAUAUUGUAUAAAAUUAUUCUUUGUUUUUAGAAUAUAAGUUCUGAAAUAAUAUCCUAUUGGUGAGCCAACUGGUAAACGCAGAGGGUAUUUUACUCAGUUAUAAGGAAUUCUUAUCACUUUACAAGGUUCCUGUAACACCUAAACAUUUUGCAAUUGUCUUAGAUGCCAUUCCCUCAGGUGUUGCUUUAUUAUUCAGGAAUGUGUCAAGACCUGACCCCCAGAGCCUACCUUCUGUUGAACCUGUUGACUCAUCAGUAGGAACAUUCAACAAUAGGAAUACGAACCUUGUUUCAGCAGGAUGUCAUGCCUUAUUGGAAUGGAUUUAUUGAUAAUAUUUGUCGCAAAAAAGUUUGGAUGUUGCCAUACACAUACCUACUUAACAAAAUUUAAGGAAGUUUUGUUUAAAAAUAUUCAUAAAUAUUAUCCUGCCAACCACUACAUGAAGAAGUUUAAGGAAAACAUGAACUCAAAUUGCUCAUUUUGUAAUGACCACCCAGAAACAGUGGUAUUUUAUUCAUGUACGAAAACUGUGGCAAGACAACAGUAGAUUUAUAAUUGAACACAUUCAUGAGGAUCUUACACUAUUGUAGAGAGAUGUACUGCUUGGAUUCUUUACCUAUGAUAGAAAUAAGCUGAAACAUUUUUGGCCAAAUUUCAUAUUCACAAAUGUAAAUUUACAAGCAAAACACAUUUUCUUACCUUACAAAAAGAAAUGGAACUGCAUUUUAAGAUAAUUAAAUACUCUAACAAAAAAGCUGUUAGAAUAAUAAGUAUGUCCUUGUGUAAUGUGAUAUUGUACCCCUAGCCCCGCCCCUAGCCCAAUUGUUCUUUGUAUAUUAUUUAUAUAUUGUGUUCCCACAUGUACUUCCUGUAUUGAUUUGUUAAUAAAAUUAAACUGGUAAAUGUUUCUAUUUAUGCCAGUUCCUUUCA
Oncorhynchus nerka (sockeye salmon) is the source of this 11295-nucleotide long non-coding RNA. RefSeq lists it as uncharacterized. The record is from RefSeq and is a predicted model, not a curated record. Lineage: Eukaryota; Metazoa; Chordata; Actinopteri; Salmoniformes; Salmonidae. The transcript is spliced from 2 exons.